Molecule: long non-coding RNA, 11683 nt
Filed under: Zea mays
Lineage: Eukaryota; Viridiplantae; Streptophyta; Magnoliopsida; Poales; Poaceae
Description: long non-coding RNA (ZMAY_LNC001597)
Source: RNAcentral
UCAAUAAUAAGUAUAGAAGAUCUACUUAGACCUAUAAGAAGGUCAUGCCCACCGACGCUUAGCACCAUCCACAUCAGCACAAAUCUAGUACCUGCAACAACAUGGGUUCGAAAACCCUAAGUACGAAGUGUACUUUCGCAAGUAUUACUCGUCUAAGGAAAAAGACUCUCAAGGAUAUGCUGGCUUUUUGGAGUCAAGGUAAAGCUUAUCAAGAUUCAAAGACACUUUUUGCAGAAAAGCUUACUAUGAGUGGAUCCUUAAGAAUUCAUUUUACUUGUCAGGUUAAGUAGUUACCCACAUCUAGAUUUCUUUCUAUUCUAUAUCAAGCACUUGGCCUAUACUAGCUGUCUUUUAUCAUCCCUUGAGUUCACUUGUCACUACGUGUAGGUCAGUGACCAAGUCUUCAUGUCCGAGAAGUAACGAUGAUCCGAAUCGAUUAAUACCCAGCUGGGGAUCUCCAACCACACGAUAUAUGUAGCACUUAACCCUUGCAUAUGUCAACUCGCACCCGGGUUUCUCAAGACCAGAAUGGGUUCACGCCAACCGAGAGCACAUAUACUCCACUGUCCAGCCUCUUGCCACGGAGGGUACACGCUACUCUCGCCAUCUCUCCACUCCCAUUGUGUGGUAGCCUUUCUGCUAUUGGUCCGACUAAGGCCAAGCUUACCCAUGACGAGGCAUGUGGCUAGUUAAAAGAUCCUCGAUCAUCAAGCCUACAUCGGCCCGAUCCUUAAGCGACUCAGACGGAGACACUAGAACUCUUCGUCAAAUAAUACACUUCUUUGCGCAAGGAACUUCCAAAAGUGUUUUUACAGAUACUAGCAAAGAGAGCUUCCAAAGUCUCCUUUAAUGCUUCAGAUCUAGCUUCGGCCCACUAGCUUUUGGCAUCGUCAUCCUGAAGAAUGACAAAGGCAGGGAUACUGAGGAACAUGGUAAGAAAAAAUAUAAAAUAAAAGCACAAAGGUAAAAAGAUUUUUUAUACCUUGUUGAGUAGGUUUCGAGCUUCGUCUCCAGCCAGUUCUCGGCCGCCCUUUGCCCAGAUUUGGGUAAUAAAUCUAUUGCCUAUACUUCGGGCUUCGGUCGGAAUGUCGAUAAGGUCAGAUGGCGAUAGGCUAAAGUUUGGCCUGUUGAUGGCUCUUGCAUGAUUGCAUCCAGCUUUUAUGAAAGCAGCAGCUGUACCACGAGAAGCUACUAGCGCACAGAAAUCACUGUGGCCAGUUAUGACUUCAUCAAGGACGUCAACUUAUUUUCAAUACAUUCGAGUGCCCCGGGGAUAUCUUCAGCAGAGAGAUCAGCUUCUUCGGACAUGGCUCCGACAGAAUUGAAGAUAUCUUUUAGCUGAGCAGUACAUUGAUCCGCAAAGCUGAAGCAUUUAUUAAGAGCUUUAAGCGUUUCACUUAGUUUCAGGUUCUUCUUAGCUUCAACCUUGAUUGUCAUAUUUAAAGCUUUGGUUUCACGGCUGAACUGACUUGAGUUCUAUUUCAAAAAUGUUUGAGUUUCCUUCAGCUCUUUGCUUAAUUUUUCAUUCUGAGCCCAGGCUUCGGCAAGUGAGCCUUCAGCUGAACGCAGCUGGCUGUCUUUUUCCUUCAAAGAAUCUUCAAAUUUUUUGAUCUUAUCUUCAAAGCCUUCAACGACAAUUUCAUUUUUCUUACUUCGUCAUCUUGCUGCAUCUUCAAGGCUUUGUUUAGCAAUAGACUCUAAAAAACAAAUUAAAGUUAGAAUACUUAAAUCAACACGAAGAUACCGUUGAUAACCUGUAAAGGAGUCUUACUUUGAAGUUUGAGUAAAACAAGCUGCCAAUGAUGUAAUGUCAUCUAUAGCAACUAAUAUCUUUUUCUAGCUUCGGGAAUCCAACGCUCUUAGAUAAAGUGCUUAUAAUCUUAGCUCUGGCACGGUCGCGGAUGCAUCCCAAAAUCUCUUCAUCAACCUCGUCGAAGAGCAUCGAUCUAGGUUGGUAGCCGCAGGAUAUGGCAAAUUCCUUCAAUUCUGAUAUGUCCUCUUCGGAAAGCUGUUGGCCGCCCAAGUUCCGAAGGUUGAAAUUCAUAUCUUCUGAAGAGGUCUCUUCAAUUCUCUUCCCCUUAUCAGAAGGCACUGUGGCUACAUCUUUCUUAGCAACCACAUUUGAUAUAAGUCUGUCGAUUUUCGACAUCGUGGUUGCAAGAUUAUCGGCUUCGGCUCCGACGGUGUCUUCGAUGUCACGGAACCUCCCAAUGUAUUAGGCCCACCUACAGGUCCUUGUCCAAAGGACCUCAGAGAGUCAUGCAGGUGCGCGUAAUCACUUGGCAAGUUCGGUUAUCUGUAUCUUCAUCAUACCGCCCAAGAGCGCUUCACCCACCAUGCAGACAUUACACACAUAAUCGGAGAAAAGAAUAAGCAGAAGGAUUACAAUAAUAUAGUUUACAUUCAUACCAAAUAUAGAGAGAGUAUUUAUUACAUGACGGGUGUUCGAGUGCAACACUUAAUAUUACAUAACAGGGAGGCAAAACACCCUCCCACCAACAAACUUAGUGAUCUUCCUCCUGCUUUGGCACCACCUUAGAGCAGAAACAGCAAAACUCGACUGUUUCAUCACCUACAAUAACAUGGGUUCGAAAACCCUGAGUACGGAGUGUACUUUCGCAAGUCUUACCCGACAAAGGAAAAAGACUCUCAAGGAUAUGCUGGCUUUUGGGAAUCAAGGUAAAGCUCAUCAAAAUUCAAAGACUCUGUUUGCAGAAAAGCUUACUACGAGUGGAUCCUUAAAAAUCAUUUUACUUGUCAGGUUAAGUAAAGUUACCUGCAUCUAGAGUUCUUUCUAUCCUAGAUCAGGCACUUAGCCUAUGCUAGCCGUCUUUUAUCAUCCCUUCAAUUCACUGGAUUGCUACGUGUAGGGCAGUGACCAAGUCUUCAUGUCCGAGAAGUAACGGCGAUCCGAAUCGAUUAAUACCCAGCUAGGGAUCUCCAACCACACGACAUAUGUAGCACUUAACCCUUGCAUAUGUCAACUCGCCAACGGGUUUCUCAAGACCAGAAUGGGUUCACGCCAACCGAGAGGAUAGAUACACCACUUUCCAGCCUCUUGCCAAGAAGGGUACACGCUACUCUCGCCAUCUCUCCACUCCCAUUGCGUGGUGGCCUUUCUGGUAUUGGUCUGACCGAGGCAAAGCUUACCCAUGACGAGGCAUGUGGCCAGUUAAAAGGUCCUCAAUCAUCAAGCCUACUUCGGUCCUUAUUCGACUUAGAUGGAGACACUACACCGAGACUUCCUUCUUGUGCAAGUCACCAACCCGAUCUCGUCUUUAUCAUUUAAACCCCAAAGUUUGGUACCUAACACAGGUACAUCUUUUCAGAUGCUGAACCCAUCAUGGCCAUGAUGGAUUCACCAUCACUUGUCUUUUUUUUGUAAAAUUCCCAUCCCAUAUGAAGCAUCACCUUUUAUUUUAAAACAAAACAUUUUGUUUUCUAAAGCAAAGCUAAGCAUUAUAAAACUUUAAGUAAAUCAGGUAACAAGGAAUGGGAAUCAGUUUCCAAGGAAGGAAAUGCAGCAAUUGUUUAGCACACAACUCCUAUCACCUAAUGCAUCAUCUCAAGUGAUAAAGAGUUUAAAACAACAAGGAAAGGGGUAAAUGCACCGGGGCUUGCCUUGUGUUGCAAGAGGCUCCGGGUUUGUUCCACAGAUGUCGAAGUAGAAGUUAUUCUCGGCUGGUGGGUUCUUAGCUUGAGGUACAACUUCUUUUUCAACUACAGUCUCUUCCUCUUUUUCUAUACAUAACAGUACAUAUACAUGAGUGCUUAUGUGAUGCUAUGAAUAUGCAGUUACAUAACAGAAACCUACUAAGUUGUAUCUUGAAUAAAACUUUCCUUCACGGUAAACACUAGUCACUAGGGUUUCUUAAGUUGGUGUUCUAUCAGUAUUAGGCAAUUAAACCCUAGGAGGCUAGUUUAUUGGGUUUGGGAACAAACAAUGUCCAAAUCAUUUCAAACUUCACCCAAGGUCUUUAAUCAUUAAACUAAGCUUACCCAAAAAGUUUUACCAUUUUUAGAGCUACUAAAUUAUUUCUAAAAUUCUAAAAGGCUUGGUUUCAACACCUUUAAAGGCUACAUAAUCCUAGGCUUUGAAUAAAAAUCUUGGAACUAUUUUAAUUAAAUACUAGAUAAUUUUAGGAGCCUAGCAAAAUUAGUCUCAUAUUUGUAUCGUUUUUCUACUAUUUUCUAUGCAUUUCUUAAUCUGUCAGCAAAAAGAAAAGGAAAAACAGUGAACAGGACUGGGCUCAUUCCAGCCCAAACCAGCCCGCGACCAGGUAAAACGCGCGCGCCCGCGCCUGCGUUGGCAACUUUGCGCAGAGACCCUCGGCUAUUUGAAAAACCGGUAAAGAACCUGUGACACUGUUUCUCUGUUUCACUGACAUUUGUGCAUAAACCCUUAAGUUUCUAUUUCUUCUCCAACUCAAACCCUAGCGACGGCGCGCUCGCCCGCCGACCAUCCCAUGCUGGGACUCGCCUCGAAUGGCGACAAUUGACGAAACUGAGCAUUGGAUCACAAUCCCUGAACCCCGGCAAGCCUAGGCCAUGUUCUAAUCGAGCUAAUUCGACCCGGAGUUCCCUUGCCCACGACGACGUUGAAACCCAAGGACGGACCGAGGUGUUCCCGACGAUCCAGCGCGGUCUAGUUCAAUUAAUCGAGUCUACGAGCAACAGGAGACUCUAAGGAUGCUAGAACACGGAUCAGAGAAGCGCGAAUCAACCUGUGGAUGGCUGACCACGGCGAGGUGCCAACGACGGCGAAUUUGACUGAUUUGGGGGAAGUACUGAAUUCACGGGCUAUGGCGGCUAAUCGGAGGCGGGAAUUGGUGUUCUAGCUUCGUAACAAGCUAACGGAGCAGGCCGCACACUCAAUUUAUAGCGUCCGCAAGCGGUGGCUCCGAAUUUAGGAAAGGUAAGCUGGCGGCCGGAGAGGAGACGAGUCACCGGAGCAAAACUACCAUGGCGCUCACCGUGCUAAGUCUCAGGCGACCCAGGGGCUAUCUACAGCGAUCUACUGCGACGUUCACUGAACCUGGAAUCUGAUUCAGGUUACUGUACCAUGGGAGCUCCAUUUAGUACGCCAGACCGAGCAAGUUGAGGAGUCCCAUUCUCUAAUUUCCAUGUAAUAGCCCCCUAAUCCAUCUGUAGCAAAAUUGUUCUUCUAUAAACCAGCUUUAAUUUUGUUAUAGCAACCUCGAUCAAACAUCCACUGGAUCCUAUUCAAAAUCAAUCUCAAAGUUCAUCUCAGUUCACUGAUAGUCGAAUUUUAGUUUCAGUGGUGACUGACAGCCCAACUUUAGGUCCAUUUUUCUCCCAUUUCCAUACAGCACCAAGGCUUAGUCAUUUAAUCAAACUUGAGCUACUAACAUAGCUCUAUUAUUUUGUUGUAAUGGCCUAGGGCAAAAUCGUCAUGGAUUAAGAGAUACAAGGUCAUAAACUUGGCCUAAUGUCACUAAUUUUCAGAGUUUAAGCCACAUAGUGACUUGGGGACUUUUUACAAUUAACUCCAAUUUGUUCCACAUCACUUGAAAAAUCUUCCAAUGUAAAAGUUGUUUAGUUUUUUAUACUCUACCUCUUUGAUAUAGACACUUUGGUCCAAAAGUGUAUAGAAAUUGAAAUAACCUUAUAGGGCACAAAUUAGGUUUUCCAGGGCUCUUAUUAGGGUUUUGAGUGUUCUAGGGUUUGUGUGCCAUUCAAAUCCAUAAAGUUUAGUCUCUUAUGAAGCUUUCCACUAAUUUUUGAGGUAAUACUUAAUUUGGUAUCACACACACCCAUAUACCUAAAUCCCAUGGUUAAGUACCCUACUCUAGGGUUAAGAAGCACUUCAAGUCAUCACAUCACAACUUGUUUUUGAAGUUUUAGCCCAGUGGAUGCAUUCUAGGUGUAACAAACAUAAUGACAUGACAAUGCAUAUGAUGUCAUGCCCAAAUUUUAGUUCUUGUAACACUAGGGGUGUUACAUUCGGCAUCGACGGGUAUAGUAUCUUUAUCCACCGAAGCUGGGGGCAGGGUUUGUUCAAUAGCUUCCAUCACAUUCAUCAUUCGCCGCUUCUUUUGCCCCCCAUUUUCCUCUCGACAACUGAAGCGAUUUCCUUUGACUGCAAGAGGCUAGUCAGAGCCAACCUCAAAGGACUUAGCAGUGCAGAUGGGAAUGGUUCAGUCAUUACCUUCGAAAUUUCCGAAACCUCAGCAGCAGAAGGCGAAGAAGGCCCCAUAUUCUACUUUGGCAUAUCUUGUACUUCCGUUUCCACAGAAGAUACCCUGAUGAGUUUCUGUUUCUUGGGAGUCGAUUCUUUCGGCUCCGAUAGAGUUUUCUGCUUCUUCAAAGCUUUCUGGUCCUCCUUGACCGACCGGAUGGCCUGUCUAUUCAUAAUGCUGGCAAUUCUUUUCCUUUUGGCUCCUCCGGUCCCUUCAUCAAGUCUCUCGUAAUCAGGAUACUCAAAGUUCGAAGUGUCCAUCACACGGUUCAACCUUCGUUUUGGGCGGGUGCCAAAGGCAGCAAUCAUCAAUUGAUCCUCUUUCUUUGUAUAAUUUCCAAGAAUUUCAUUACACAUAAUUUCUAUUAUUACAUCCAUUCAUUUCAUGGUUUCUUAAAUCUUUUCUAGAACUUAAACUGGCAAGGCAGCUAGACAAGUUCAUACUUUUUCCCUUCUUUCUUCUUCAGCAUUCCCCAACCGCCAGAGGUCGGAAAUGUCCUGUUCACCAAGUAUUCUUGCACUAAGUCUCUAGUGCUGAUAUGCUCAGCCACAACCCUGAACUCCACUUCGGCCAACUAGCAAGGAGACGCCAACUACAUAUUGCACAAGGGCCGAGUCAUGCCGAUGUUCAAUCUCAACGGACUCAUCACCAUGCUCAUGAGUUUCUCCCUUUUCUUCUCGUCAGCUUUCACGUAAAACCACUCGUUUGUCCACCCGGUCGGCCAUUUGGUGCGGUAGCCUAUCACGGGGGCCUUUGUGUCCUUCCGGUAUGCGAAGUUGUAGCAUCCGAAGUUCUUGUGUAGGCCAUCAGCUCUUGCCUUCGUCUGAUAAUGAAGCUCAUGUACCCGGCAGACCCCUUCGGCGUUGGCUCUUUUUCCUUGGCUUCGAAGAGCCCAGAUAUACACGUUGAGCCUAAUAAUGGCAUUCGGGGUCAGCUGAUGUAGGUAGAUUUCAAACUUUUUCAAAACUUCACCUAUCAUUUCAUAAAGGGGGAACCGAACUCCCGCCCUAAAGAAGCUCUUGAAGACUACAACUUCAUCUUCUUUCGGCUCUGGAAUUGUCUCCUCUCCAGCAAAGCGGACCAGUUCAUCAUCAUUUUCUCCAAAAUAUCCUAGCUUCUUCAUUAGAACUAGUUCUUCAGCUUUAACUAUGGAUCUCCCAAAUUCAACAUGGAUGGGCUUAGUCGGAUAUAGAAUGCUAUCAUCAUCCUCACUUUCAUUAUCACUUUCAGCUUCAGCCACGGCCUAUUCAGUUCUGAGAUGGGAGCCCAGAGUGCCUCAUCAUUUCUGAGAUGGGAGCUAUCUCAGUCAUUUCAGUCUCGUCUCCCUCACGAGUUACCCUUGCAGUUGAUCUUACUCUGGCCAUUUCGCUGUUCAAACUCUCACAGACGAAGUUGUGCUUGAAUGGUGAAAUGCUUGUUCGAAGUAUAAUGCAGAAAGCUUCGGCUUCGGUGAAAAUUUUCAACAGCACAACGGUGCAAUAGCAAUGCAUGUUGUGGUAACUUCUCACCAACUUGUCUAUUUAUAUAGCCCUGCAAGAGAAGAAGGUAAACCGCCAAGAUGCACGUACUGGCUGAUAGGUGAACAGUAUCCUCGUACUGUUCACUCUUGAUUGUAAUCACUCUCGUGUCAGCACCUUCGAACAAGCCGAAGGUAUCGAUGUAAUAUAAAUCCUAUUAAUGUUCGUAUGUACAUUAUGAAAUACAAAUGUGAAUAAACUAAUGAAUUACAUUCAUUAUUUUUAUGUAUCCUCAUUCACAUAUUAAAUGAUGAAGGCAUGUCCUUCACGACCUUCGUCUGAUGAUCAUUAUAUCCGAGAGGAGAUAAUGUUUCAAAGGACGAAGGUCCUCAAUUCUUAACUGUCACACCCGGCUUUAGAAGGCAAACCGAAUGCGAACCAUGUACGUGCCAGGAUCAGCAAUUCAUGUACACAGCAGUUACAUAACCGGACAUCAUCACAUAAUGCUCGAAUAAUAACAUAAAAGAUAGUACUAGUCGAUUACAUCAUGAUGUCUGAGACAUCCACAUAGUCUUUAACAAUAAUCAAAAUGUGAAAAUGAAACGUAGAUACAUGCGGCCUUCAUAGGCAGCCAACUAGGGGUUGCCGCUAACCCACGCCUAAAACUCGUCGUACUCUUGGAACUCCUGGAAGUCUUCCUCCAUGGCUUCAUCUUCUCCUGAGCAGCGGUUGCAACAUGGACAACCUAGGGGGUUUGGUGUGUAAAGCAAGGGUGAGUACACAUCAACAUACUCAACAAUUGUCCCGUUUGGCUGUAGCGGACUAGCUUUAUGUGGGGUUAAGUCAAGCAGUUGCUUUUAGUUGGUCAGGUUAUUAUUACUAGUAGAGAGCCAGAUUUUAGCAUUAACCCAAGUUGUUAACCCAAAAGUACCCUUUCCAAAUGGAAAGAAUACCACUUACCAUUACAAUAGUCAUAAUCAAACCAUCAUCCACGUCACCACCUGUAGACCAACCAUCUCUGAUCAAGGUAUCUCUAAUCAUUGGAGCUCCCUUGGCCGCGCAUAAUAGUGAGCACUGUUGAUAUAUCAGUUUCAUAACACUUUGCAGAGGUUGCGCACUUUACCCACAAGCCGUGAUUCCCUUUCUGCCCGGAGAGAGCUACUCCCCAUUGACCACUACCUAGGUGGCCUAGCAGAGUAUCACUAUGAAGCCUUUACAAACAUUCCCCGAGGGUGUAGCCGCCUGUUAGGUUUCCUAAAUGUACUGCACUCCUCCUCAAGAGGCAAUCCACCCUCGGCAGAGCGAGCCGCAUACACCGAGCCCCAUUGACGGCACGACGGCGAAGCGAACUACACCCCAGUUCAUCUAAUUAUUCAGCUAAGGGCGUCUCAUACCACCCUCAUGGUUGCACUCUUUUCCCGGGCGGUCAUCCAACGAAUAGGUCCUUACGAAGAGGCACUCGAGAAACCGCUCGAGUCCCCUUAAAUGCCACAAGUAUAUCAUCAUAAUCAAAAGGGGAAACAACGUAUCAUGAAUAAUCUCAUCAUGUUCAUUGAUUAAUGUGAAGCACUAGCAUAAAGCUAAACCAAAAUAACCCAACCCAAAUAGGUAAACAAGGACAUGAUAAACAAAGCUAGUCAAUUCUUAGGUAUAAAUUGUGUAAAUAUGGGGAGUGAAUUAUAAAGUGAAUAGGACAUAGAAGGGUCAAGGGACACUUGCCUUCACUAAACAGAUGCUCAGGAUCUUCAGCCUCGUAAAACUCGAAGAGCCUGAUCACUUGGUCGCCAAAACUUGAUCGCCGACUCCUUGAAGCUCAGGAAUACAUCGCAAUCUAUUCGCGACACCCAGCGAAGACAAACAAGAACAAGCAAACGAACAUAUAUAUGCAUAAGAACAUUACACCAUACAAGAUAAAAUAUUAUCAAAAUGAGCAACAUAUAAAAAUAGAGAGCGCUUCUACGGUUAUGUCGGGAUAAGAAAAGCGACGGUCGAAGCUACAGUCAAGAAAUUAUAACGUUUACGCUAUACAAGGACAUUUAAUUCGACAUUAUAAAAUAUAAAUUAUAACUGCUACGUAGUUUUAAUUAAAUCUGCUACACUAACAGUUGUCAAAUGAAUAACUAAUAUAAUUAGCAAGAGAGAUUCUAAGCGAGGCAAGUUUACGAUGCGCGAAACAGCAUGACAGCGUGCGAACGACACGCGGACACGCGCGACAUAGCACGCUGACAACACACGAAAACAGUGCGCGCGACUGGAGCGAACGACGCGCGAACCAGCACGUUACCACGUGCGGAACAGCAUGCGCAAGAGGCGAGAAACUAAAUAGGUGACACAUUUGUACUAAACUAAUAUUAAAUAAAUAAAAAGUAGUUAAGUUAAUAUUAGUCAUAUUAAUGUUUAUUAUAAAAGCGCAAGUUGAACACUAUACAUUUAAUCUAAUUGGAAUAUUAAUCUAAUAAAUAUUAGUCGAGCAAACCUUAAAUUAAUUAUCUAAAAUGUGUGGCCUGACGAAUUAACGUUAUUAACAUGAGUGUUUAUAAGCGAAAAAAAUUUAUUAUCACGCGCAGACGCCAUGCGACACACGCGAACGGAGCGCGACAACGCGUGCGAACAGCAGGCGCGACACUCGCGAACGACACACGACGACGCGCGUGAAACAGCGUGCGGCCGACACACAAAACAACACACGCGAUAGCGCGCGAACGCCGUGCGCGAACAGCACGACAACAAGCACAUCAUGCGAGGAUCGCUAACAAAUAUCGCGCACAAACUAAGCGAGUACUAAUUAAGAAUAUUUGAGUUAGCAUUAAUUACAAUAACAUGUAUUUAUAAAGCGCAAGUAAAAACUAUAAAUUAGUUUUAAUUAGAAAGCCAUUUUAGUGACUAUCAAUUAAAUAAACAAUUAAUUAAUUAAUUAUAACACGUGUCAUGGCAAAAUAAUGCUACUAACACAUAAUCGACAUUAUUAUAAAGCUAACGCGACUGAAACGUGUAGAAACGGGUCUGCGACCCAAAAUAUAUCGACUAUAUAAUACUUGUGGAAUUACGAUGAUGUGGCACAUUUUCAUUGGCCCGAAACAAAGCCACGCAACGGACCACAAAGAGCAUGGCUGCUGAAAAUCGUUCACAACUAGGCCUAUGGACCUUGACACAUGACGAGAUGGUUUUUUCUAAAGCAUAGCGCACGUACAGUAAUGGGAUCGUGGGGCCCAUGGCAUUUCUCUUUUCCAGUCUAUUCGCUCGCCAUUUGAACGUGGUCAGUUUUUCUUUCUUCUACAACCUGUACGCGCAUAGAGAAGAAGGUCGUUCGUCGGCUGCCGCGGCGUCUCACUGGAAGGGAGUAGGAAUGAGCAAGGAAGGGCGGCGCGGCGCAGGGGCUAGCUGGCCGGAAUGGUGACAGAGCGACGCGCAAGGGGCGAGCACGGCCCGGGACGAUCUUCCUGAGCAGGGCGGGCGAGCGUCUCACAGAGGCUGGCGCCAAGGCGCACAACAGCAGCUCGCUGGCGGCCUGCUGCGGAGCGCGGUGCAGCAGUCAGGGAGGGCACGCAUAGAAUGGGGGAUUGCAUGGCGCAGAUAGUGGCCAUGGGCGUGGGCGAAGCUCGUCGCGCCAUGGAUUUGCUUGUCGCCAUGGCUGCGUGUUAGGGAAGGGGCGGGCUGUGUUCACCGACUGUGCACAGGGAUUCAGCCACAAGGGGCUGCGAGCAUCGCGCUUUGCCUAGAGAAAUUUCGGACCGGGGGAGACAGCUCGGCCAAGGGCCGAGCAUGGCAGCGCACGAGGAACGCCCGAGAAUGAAAGGGGGAAUGGAGAAAAUUCGUCACCUGCGCACGAGGAACCGUGCUCCUCCUCUCCUGUUGCUGCAGCGCCUGGGGAACUUCUGAUCUGGGUAACUCCUUCAUGCGCAGGAAUAGAGUGAAGGGAACUGGCGUACUCGUAGGCGAGAAACAUGGGCACGACAAGACGAGAAAGAUAUGGUUUGGGAAGAUGAACAGGGCUCGGGCGGCCGCUGCCCGCUGGGGCGGAGCAAC